CCUACGGGAGGCAGCAGUGAGGAAUUUUCUGCAAUGGGCGAAAGCCUGACAGAGCAAUACCGCGUGAGGGAAGAAGGCUUACUGAGUUGUAAACCUCGGUGCCUUAAGGAAGAAGAUCUGACGGUACUUAAGGUGGAAAGCAUCGGCUAACCCCGUGCCAGCAGCCGCGGUAANACGGGGGGAUGCAAGUGUUAUCCGGAAUCACUGGGCGUAAAGCGUCUGCAGGUGGUUUCCUAAGUCCACUGUUAAACCUUGAGGCUCAACCUCAAAUCUGCAGUGGAAACUAGGGAACUUGAGGAUAGUAGGGGUAGAGGGAAUUUCCAGUGGAGCGGUGAAAUGCGUAGAUAUUGGAAAGAACACCGAUGGCGAAGGCACUCUACUGGGCUAUGACUGACACUCAGAGACGAAAGCUAGGGGAGCAAAUGGGAUUAGAUACCCCAGUAGUCCUAGCCGUAAACGAUGGAUACUCGAUGUUGGACGUAUCGACCCGUUCAGUAUUCUAGUACUACGUACGUAGUACGUCCGUCCGUCGGGUAGGUACGCGUCGCGAGAGUAGAACGUACGAAGAAGUAGACGGCGNGAGACGNGCGACGACGACGACGAGGGAGGUAGG
This 613-nucleotide ribosomal RNA is filed under the name uncultured bacterium. RNAcentral's name for it is "bacterial SSU rRNA". The stretch from base 1 to 523 matches the Rfam family "Bacterial small subunit ribosomal RNA", at positions 338 to 873 of the family's 1533-position model. The record is from RNAcentral.